GAUGAACGCUGGCGGCGUGCUUAACACAUGCAAGUCGAGCGAUGAAGUUUCCUUCGGGAAAUGGAUUAGCGGCGGACGGGUGAGUAACACGUGGGUAACCUACCCAUCAGAGGGGGAUAACACUUGGAAACAGGUGCUAAUACCGCAUAACAGUUUAUGCCGCAUGGCAUAAGAGUGAAAGGCGCUUUCGGGUGUCGCUGAUGGAUGGACCCGCGGUGCAUUAGCUAGUUGGUGAGGUAACGGCUCACCAAGGCCACGAUGCAUAGCCGACCUGAGAGGGUGAUCGGCCACACUGGGACUGAGACACGGCCCAG
RNAcentral lists this ribosomal RNA (314 nucleotides) under uncultured bacterium. RNAcentral describes it as "bacterial SSU rRNA". It matches the Rfam family "Bacterial small subunit ribosomal RNA", at positions 28 to 334 of the family's 1533-position model. The record is from RNAcentral.